UUAAAUCUAUUACAUUUUUUCAAAACCCCUAAUCAACCAACGCAUAAGGCAGGACCUCACCACCUUACUACCGCCUUACGCCUUCCACACCCUUGAUCAUAAAUACCUUAAUAUUCUUUUCUCCAGAUGCACCUAAACUUGUCAAGUUCAAUCCGUAUCGAUGUAAAAAAACAAGCAGAGAUUAUAAAUCACACGCACAACACAACUAUAAAUGGAAAAAAUGGCCACCAACCCCAAACACUCUUGUUCUAGAUAAAAUGUAGUAGACGUCUGAAUGAGGCAGAAAACCCCGGAUAUAGCAGAAGGCUCUAUCACACCCCUACAAUGAUCUAAAAUUCAGUUCACAUAACCACUAAUAUCAAGACAUAAGUUCAUCUCUAUUGACGGGAACCCAGUUCGCGCAUCAGUACGUUGAUCGAUGAAAAAAGUGUCAUUGACGAGACCGAUUAUAAUCCUCUCAACCAAUCCAAGGCAUUGCAAGCACCUAGGUCCUUCCAAUUUCCUUCACUACAUUUUCCCUGAAACCAAACAUAUACUCCAAAGCAGCCUAUAAGGAGCAGCUUGACAUCCAUUUCUGAAUAUCUUAACCAGCACCACAAGCAAGCUUCAUUCUUUCAACUCCUUCUAUUUCUCAUCCUUCUGCCCAUAAUCAACAAAUCGAUCGCAAAGUAAAAAUAAAUCAAAACGAGGACAAAGCAGAUAUUAAUAUCAAACCUGUCUAGUCUCGUAGAGCUUGAACUUCUCGAUGGAGUGAUCGAGGGGAUUGAUUUCAAAGUCAUUAGAGGGAUGGAUUUUAGCGGCGCUACUUCCCGCCGGGUUGUUGGAUUUCGAACUCUCCGAUUUCGACAUGGAUUUCACCGGAAGAAAAAAUCUAAUUCGGAAGGAACACAAUAUUAAAGAAGAAAGAGGAGUGUUGAUCAGUGUAAACAGUGAUCGUCCUAAAUUGCCGGUUGUCGUUUGGCUCGAUGAUACAGCGGCGGAGAGAGAAAAUAUGAGAAUCGGAAAUCGGGAGGAAACCGUUGGAAAAGGAAAUAUUUCGGCAAUUAAAAGUCUUCGGCGAGGAAAAGAAUAGACUUUUUAAUAUAUAUGGUACUUCCACUUUAUGAUAUACUCAUUUUAAGUCCACAAAUUAUUUUGUUAUCACUAAUGCCGCCUCCCUUUUCCCUCCUGCUCUCCCAAAUUCUGAACUCAGAAAGCAUUGCACGCCAACUGUUCGAGAAAAUUCCCAAACUAGAAAUGAACACCAACCUCAACUCAUAAGAAAAUUCCAGAAUCCGCUUACCGUC
This 1286-nucleotide long non-coding RNA is filed under the name Linum usitatissimum (flax). RNAcentral's name for it is "long non-coding RNA (LUSI_LNC004194)". The record is from RNAcentral. Lineage: Eukaryota; Viridiplantae; Streptophyta; Magnoliopsida; Malpighiales; Linaceae.